GGGGGAGUGCAGGAUCCUGGGCUGUUUUCUGGCACCCUGGGCUCUGGGGCCUUAGCUGCUGGAAUCGUGCUCCUGGGCCUGCACAGCCACCU
Molecule: microRNA precursor, 92 nt
Filed under: Canis lupus familiaris (dog)
Lineage: Eukaryota; Metazoa; Chordata; Mammalia; Carnivora; Canidae
Also listed under: 1 other name
Description: mir-8799 microRNA precursor family
Rfam family: mir-8799 microRNA precursor family
Source: Rfam by way of RNAcentral